GAAAGGCCAAUCAAACUCGGAAAUAGCUGGUUCUCCGCGAAAUCUAUUUAGGUAGAGCGUCGGAUGAACACUCCAGGGGGUAGAGCACUGAAUGGGCUAGGGGGUCUCACCGACUUACCAAACCUAAUCAAACUCCGAAUACCUGGAAGUGCUAUCCGGCAGACACACGGCGGGUGCUAACGUCCGUCGUGGAGAGGGAAACAACCCUGACCACCAUCUAAGGUCCCCAAGUUAUGGCUAAGUGGGAAAGGAUGUGAAGACUCCAAAACAACCAGGAUGUUGGCUUAGAAGCAGCCAUCAUUUAAAGAAAGCGUAACAGCUCACUGGUCUAAUCAAGAGUCUUUGCGCCGAAAAUGUACCGGGGCUCAAGCCAUACACCGAAGCUGUGGGCUCGUCUUUGACGAGCGGUAGCGGAGCGUUCCGUAGGCCUGUGAAGGCGGACCCGUGAGGGCUGCUGGAGGUAUCGGAAGUGCGAAUGCUGACAUGAGUAACGAUAAAGGGAGUGAGAGACUCCCUCGCCGAAAGUCCAAGGGUUCCUGCUUAAAGUUAAUCUGAGCAGGGUUAGCCGGCCCCUAAGGCGAGGCCGAAAGGCGUAGUCGAUGGGAACCACGUUAAUAAUCGUGGGCCUGGUGGAGAGUGACGGAUCUCGUGUAUCGUACGGUCUUAUUGGAUUGAUCGUGCGGUGAAGAGGUUCCAGGAAAUAGCCCCACCGUAUAGACCGUACCCGAAACCGACACAGGUGGACUGGUAGAGUAUACCAAGGCGCUUGAGAGAACUAUGUUGAAGGAACUCGGCAAAUUGCACGCGUAACUUCGGAAGAAGCGUGACCCCCAUUUACGCAAGUGGGUGGGGGUGGCACAGACCAGGGGGUAGCGACUGUUUAUCAAAAACACAGGGCUCUGCGAAGUCGCAAGACGACGUAUAGGGUCUGACGCCUGCCCGGUGCUGGAAGGUUAAGAGGAGGGGUGCAAGCUCUGAAUCGAAGCCCCAGUAAACGGCGGCCGUAACUAUAACGGUCCUAAGGUAGCGAAAUUCCUUGUCGGGUAAGUUCCGACCUGCACGAAUGGCGUAACGACUUCCCCGCUGUCUCCAACAUAGACUCAGUGAAAUUGAAUUCCCCGUGAAGAUGCGGGGUUCCUGCGGUCAGACGGAAAGACCCCGUGCACCUUUACUAUAGCUUUACACUGGCAUUCGUGUCGGCAUGUGUAGGAUAGGUGGUAGGCUUUGAAGCGUGGGCGCCAGCUCGCGUGGAGCCAUCCUUGAAAUACCACCCUUAUCGUCAUGGAUGUCUAACCGCGGUCCGUCAUCCGGAUCCGGGACAGUGUAUGGUGGGUAGUUUGACUGGGGCGGUCGCCUCCUAAAGAGUAACGGAGGCGCGCGAUGGUGGGCUCAGACCGGUCGGAAAUCGGUCGUCGAGUGCAAUGGCAUAAGCCCGCCUGACUGCGAGACAGACAAGUCGAGCAGAGACGAAAGUCGGUCAUAGUGAUCCGGUGGUCCCGCGUGGAAGGGCCAUCGCUCAACGGAUAAAAGGUACGCCGGGGAUAACAGGCUGAUGACCCCCAAGAGUCCAUAUCGACGGGGUUGUUUGGCACCUCGAUGUCGGCUCAUCGCAUCCUGGGGCUGGAGCAGGUCCCAAGGGUUUGGCUGUUCGCCAAUUAAAGCGGUACGUGAGCUGGGUUCAGAACGUCGUGAGACAGUUCGGUCCCUAUCUGCCGUGGGUGCAGGAGAAUUGACAGGAUCUGACCCUAGUACGAGAGGACCGGGUUGGACGUACCUCUGGUGGACCUGUUGUGGCGCCAGCCGCAGUGCAGGGUAGCUAUGUACGGUCGGGAUAACCGCUGAAGGCAUCUAAGCGGGAAACCCACCUGAAAACGAGUUCUCCCUAUCAGAGCCGUGGUAGACCACCACGUUGAUAGGCCGGGUGUGGACGUGCGGCAACGCAUGAAGCUUACCGGUACUAAUCGCUCGAUCGGCUUGAUCAU
This 1982-nucleotide ribosomal RNA is filed under the name Aurantimonas coralicida DSM 14790. RNAcentral's name for it is "bacterial LSU rRNA". It matches the Rfam family "Bacterial large subunit ribosomal RNA", at positions 823 to 2925 of the family's 2925-position model. Lineage: Bacteria; Pseudomonadati; Pseudomonadota; Alphaproteobacteria; Hyphomicrobiales; Aurantimonadaceae. The record is from RNAcentral.